RNAcentral lists this ribosomal RNA (483 nucleotides) under uncultured bacterium. RNAcentral's name for it is "partial 16S ribosomal RNA". It matches the Rfam family "Bacterial small subunit ribosomal RNA", at positions 30 to 506 of the family's 1533-position model. The record is from RNAcentral.
AUUGAACGCUGGCGGCAGGCCUAACACAUGCAAGUCGAGCGGAUGAAGGGAGCUUGCUCCUGGAUUCAGCGGCGGACGGGUGAGUAAUGCCUAGGAAUCUGCCUGGUAGUGGGGGAUAACGUCCGGAAACGGGCGCUAAUACCGCAUACGUCCUGAGGGAGAAAGUGGGGGAUCUUCGGACCUCACGCUAUCAGAUGAGCCUAGGUCGGGUUAGCUAGUUGGUGGGGUAAAGGCCUACCAAGGCGACGAUCCGUAACUGGUCUGAGAGGAUGAUCAGUCACACUGGAACUGAGACACGGUCCAGACGCCUACGGGAGGCAGCAGUGGGGAAUAUUGGACAAUGGGCGAAAGCCUGAUCCAGCCAUGCCGCGUGUGUGAAGAAGGUCUUCGGAUUGUAAAGCACUUUAAGUUGGGAGGAAGGGCAGUAAGUUAAUACCUUGCUGUUUUGACGUUACCAACAGAAUAAGCACCGGCUAACUUCGU